CAGUCGCCGCGGGAAUACGUAGGGUGCGAGCGUUAAUCGGAAUUACUGGGCGUAAAGCGUGCGCAGGCGGUUAUAUAAGACAGAUGUGGAAUCCCCGGGCUCAACCUGGGACCUGCAUUUGUGACUGUAUAGCUAGAGUACGGUAGAGGGGGAUGGAAUUCCGCGUGUAGCAGUGAAAUGCGUAGAUAUGCGGAGGAACACCGAUGGCGAAGGCAAUCCCCUGGACCUGUACUGACGCUCAUGCACGAAAGCGUGGGGAGCAAACAGGAUUAGAUACCCCAGUAGUCCCUGUCUCUUAUAC
RNAcentral lists this ribosomal RNA (301 nucleotides) under uncultured bacterium. RNAcentral describes it as "partial 16S ribosomal RNA". It matches the Rfam family "Bacterial small subunit ribosomal RNA", at positions 509 to 807 of the family's 1533-position model. The record is from RNAcentral.